AGAGUUUGAUCAUGGCUCAGGACGAACGCUGGCGGCGUGCUUAACACAUGCAAGUUGAGCGGAGAUAUGGAGAGCUUGCUCUUUAUAUUUUAGCAGCGAACGGGUGAGUAACACGUAGAUAAUUUGUCAUAUAUUGGGGGAUAGGCCGAUGAAAAUUGGAUUAAUACCGCAUACAGCUAUUUAACCGCAUGGGGAGAUAGUGAAAGGGGAAACUUGAUAUAGGAGGAGUCUGCGGCACAUUAGCUAGUAGGUGAGGUAAGAGCUCACCUAGGCGACGAUGUGUAGCCGG
RNAcentral lists this ribosomal RNA (289 nucleotides) under uncultured bacterium. RNAcentral describes it as "partial 16S ribosomal RNA". It matches the Rfam family "Bacterial small subunit ribosomal RNA", at positions 8 to 290 of the family's 1533-position model. The record is from RNAcentral.